This 3113-nucleotide long non-coding RNA is filed under the name Canis lupus familiaris (dog). RNAcentral describes it as "lncRNA (ENSCAFG00000056173.1)". The record is from RNAcentral. Lineage: Eukaryota; Metazoa; Chordata; Mammalia; Carnivora; Canidae.
CUUUUUUUUUUAAUUUUUUUUUCUUUUUUUUUUAUUUAUGAUAGUCACAGAGAGAGAGAGAGAGGCAGAGACAGAAGCAGGCUCCAUGCACCGGGAGCCCGAUGUGGGAUUCGAUCCCGGGUCUACCAGGAUCAUGCCCUGGGCCAAAGGCAGGCGCCAAACCGCUGCGCCACCCAGGGAUCCCCUUUGAAUUCCUUCCUAAUUGAAGUCCCCACAGUUUUCUUUGUCCUGUCAAUUUCUCACAAAUUUAUUGCCUCUUUGUCUAAAAAGUAAAAAAAAAAAACAAAACAAACAAACAAAAAAACCUGCCUGCCUUGGUCAUUUUUAGGUCUCAAUUUCAUUAUGGAGCCUCUGUACUUACAUUAUGAAACAUUGUGUUUUUUUUCUCCUGUUAUUCUGUUUCAUUUAAAUUUAAUUCUUAGUCCAGCUGCAAGACCUUCAGGGUAGAGAAUUUUUCCUUCCUUUCAACAUGAAGAAAGUGGGACUGGGAGAGAGUAAAUAUUUACUUAAGGUCACAUGCAGUCUUGGUGGAAAAAAUUUAAAAAAUAAUCUGAUUUUCAUGAAACUUAACUGAAUCUUUUCUCUCUCUAGUAUACCUGACAGCUUCUCAGAUCUACACUCAAAUACACACUCAACACACACUUGUCAAAAAGACAUAUCUGUAUCUUAGGUUAGGUACUAAUAAGUAUUUAGACUAUAUCUAUAAAAUCUAAACAGAGAUAUGUCACACUUUUCUUUUGAGAGUUUAGUCUUAAAUAUGUUGGAAAAUACAUGUAAGUACUCAUGUAAAAAAAUCAUUUUUUGUAUUUGCUUGGACAAGGAAUUAAAUAUUUAAUACAAAAGGCUAUAAAUUUUUAAUAUUAGAAAAAUUUUCCUUGUUUUACUUCUAAAAUAGCUAAGGGAAGAUAUUAUUUUUAGAUACAUAUAUACAUAUUUAUGUACUCAUGUAUAUUUUAAAUCAUGAAUGAAAAUAAAGUAGAAUAUUGAGAGAAAUUAUGCUCAAAAGGAUUUUGAGUUAGAAGGCUUUUAUAUAAUCUGCUACUUCUUUUGAACCAACACACCUAUGGCUGUCUACUUGGAGUAAUUUUAAAUGGUAGUAACUCAAAACACAACUUGAAGCCUACAAUCAACUGAAGUAGAGCAGUUUUGUUUUCAUAUGGAAACAAAAAAAAAACCCAAAAAUCUAAUAGAGUGCUCUGGAGAAACACCUAAAGAUUAUUUAUUUCCCAACAGAAAAGGGGAAUUGAAUCCAUGCUGAAGUGACAGCUAUUAACAAAAGCUGAUAACUCAAGUGGGUUUAAAGAAAGAAAGGAGAUGAAAAAGGGUGCGAUGGUGGUGGAAGGGAGGGAGGAGGAGAAUAAAGAAAGACCAGGCAGGCAUCAGUUGAACUCUACAAGGAGUAUGGUUGUUAGAAUCUGACAUUCCUGUUGUGAAGGAAAACGUAUGUUUAAGUAAAUUACCAGCUAAGCUUAACCAACUAUAAAUAUAUAUACCUAAUAUAUAUGUGUGUGUAUGUAUGUGCCUACAUGUAUGAUAUAUGCAUAUGUAUACAUGUAUGGUGCAUGUAGGUGUAUACAUGUACAGUAUAAGUGUAUACCUGCAUGAUAUACAUGUAUGUGUGUAUUCGUGUAUGAUAUGUGUGUAUAUGUAUGUGUGUAUCCAUAUAUAUCUGUAUAUCAUUGUUUUAUUUGCUGUAAGUAGGGCAGAUGGUAGGUAGGACAUUCCACGUAAUGUGAAGUAAAAUUGCUUUUCUACUUACAUGUUUUACUUAAUCUUUAUUCUAUGUUCUCAUGCAAGUUUUAAACUGAACAAAAUCUAUUAGAACAAUAGUUGUGAAUCCCUGUACAUAAGUAAAUAAGUAAAAUCAUUUUUUUUUGGUGUGUGUGCAUGAAACUAUUCCAAUAAUCAUAUCUGUGAUCAAAGUUAUUCGGCAAUCACCAGUCUAAAAUGCAAGCAAGGGGGUGGUGAUUGGGUGGCUCAGUCAGUUAAGCAUCUAAUUCUUGGUUUAGGUUCAAGUCAUGAUCUCAUUGGUCAUGGGAUCAAGCCUGGUGUGGGACUCCACAAGCAGUGGGGAGCUGCUUGCAGAUUCUCUCCCUCUGCCCCUCCCCCAGCUCACACAUGUCCAUGUUUUCUCUCUCUCUAAAAUAAAUAAAUCUUCAAAAAAAAGAAUGCAAGCAAGGGUUAGCAAACUAGCUAGUGGGCCAAAUGUUGUCUAAGACCUGUAUUUUUAAGUCAACUUUUAUUGGAUUACAGCCAUAGUUACAUAGUGUCUAUAAAUGCUUUUCAUUGUAACAAAAGGUUCAAGUUGUUGGAACAGAAACCUUAUGGUUUGCAAAGCCUUUUUUUUUCUGACCAUUAACAGAAAAUGUUUACUAGAGAAAAUUUUUGCUAGAGUCUCUUUGCUAGAGAAAAUUGACAAGAAUUCAGGUUAAAUUUGUUUGUGGACAAGAAGAGAAACUUAAUAUCUCUCAUGGAAAUGGUUUAGAGCUUACAAAUAGUUGUUACACUUUGGAAUUUUCUCAGUUGAUAGAAAAAGGUGCCAAUGUAUCAUUAAAAAAAAAACAUUAAUCCUAAAGUACAUUUUAUAUCUGUAUCCUCAAAUUAGGCUUUUUUUCUAUUGCUAAAGAAGGUGAAUGACCUUGAUGAAGUUGCUUACACUCUUAGACUUGGCUUACUUAUACAAAAAUAAUGAAAAUCAAGACUAUAGUAUCUUAUAUGGUUCUGUGUUAUGCCUGCUUGUGUUCCAUAUUGGGAAAUUAGUGCUCAGUAAAGGAUAAUUGCUAUUUUGAUAGGAUAUAUCUUGCAUAGGUUUGACUCUAUAGAAUAACAGCAAUACAUAAGUAUUUACUGAAAAUACAUGUAUGUGUAUAUACAUAAGCAUGUAUAUGUGUAUGCUUAUACAAACUAUAUAUCUUAAAAACCCAAUAAAAUAUAUAAAAAUAUAAGGAAGAUAUAAACAAGUACUGAUUUAGUAACAUUAAACGAGAGCAGAAAUAUAAAUAAGGAUAUAGGCAAAUUGUGUCUAAUGUGUAAGGGGUGCUAACUCAUUGACAGAAUUUAGCAAGGAUUUUAGCCAGUUAUCUCAUUCUUUGAUCAUGGCAGAGGCUCAAGAC